This 440-nucleotide ribosomal RNA is filed under the name uncultured bacterium. RNAcentral's name for it is "partial 16S ribosomal RNA". It matches the Rfam family "Bacterial small subunit ribosomal RNA", at positions 338 to 795 of the family's 1533-position model. The record is from RNAcentral.
CCUACGGGUGGCAGCAGUGGGGAAUAUUGCACAAUGGGGGAAACCCUGAUGCAGCGACGCCGCGUGAGUGAAGAAGUAAUUCGUUAUGUAAAGCUCUAUCAGCAGGGAAGAAAAUGCCGGUACCUGAUUAAGAAGCCCCGGCUAACUACGUGCCAGCAGCCGCGGUAAUACGGAGGGGGCACGCGUUAUCUGGAUUUACUGGGUGUAAAGGUAGCGUAGACGGCAGUGCAAGUCUGGAGUGAAAGGCGGGGGCUCAACCCCCGGACUGCUCUGGAAACUGUACGGCUGGAGUGCAGGAGAGGUAAGUGGAAUUCCUGGUGUAGGAGUGAAAUCCGUAGAUAUUAGGAGGAACACCAGUGGCGAAGGCGACUAACUGGACUGUAACUGACGUUGAGGCUCGAAAGCGUGGGGAGCAAACAGGAUUAGAUACCCCUGUAGUC